CAGCCAGCCAUCAGCAUGGGCACCUGAGCAGGGACUGAUGUACAUCCGGGAGGCCAGCACUCCCAGGCCUGAAUCUGGGGCAUCUCAGCUCAAGCCAGGGUCUGUCCUGGGGCUCAUAAAGAGAGACAAUCACAGGACAGCUGAUGCAGAGAGCACCCGGGGAUGUGUUCACAUAUCCGCAACUAUAGUCCCAAGUGACCAGCCCAGCCAGUUCAUCUUGGAAAAUAUAACAAGUUAUGAUGGAUUACAGAACCUCACCAUAACAGUGGUAGAAACUGACUACAAUCAGUUCGCCAUUGUGAUUUUCAACUUGACUAUCAAAACCAGGGUGCACUUUGAGAUUAUCCUCUAUGGUGAGUUAUCGCUGCAUCCCCUCAGGGAUCUGGUUCAUGGUCACACCUAUAGAAG
Non-coding RNA from Heterocephalus glaber (naked mole-rat), 408 nucleotides. Lineage: Eukaryota; Metazoa; Chordata; Mammalia; Rodentia; Bathyergidae. The record is from RefSeq and is a predicted model, not a curated record.